UACGAAGGGGGCUAGCGUUGUUCGGAAUUACUGGGCGUAAAGGGCGCGUAGGCGGUGUGUCAAGUCAGGCGUGAAAGCCCCGGGCUCAACCUGGGAACCGCGCUUGAGACUGGCACGCUCGAGUUCGGGAGAGGAUGGUGGAAUUCCCAGUGUAGAGGUGAAAUUCGUAGAUAUUGGGAAGAACACCGAGGGCGAAGGCAGCCAUCUGGACCGACACUGACGCUGAGGCGCGAAAGCGUGGGGAGCAAACAGG
Molecule: ribosomal RNA, 253 nt
Filed under: uncultured bacterium
Lineage: Bacteria
Description: partial 16S ribosomal RNA
Rfam family: Bacterial small subunit ribosomal RNA
Source: RNAcentral